CAGUCGCCGCGGUAAUACGAAGGGUGCAAGCGUUACUCGGAAUUACUGGGCGUAAAGCGUGCGUAGGUGGUUGUUUAAGUCUGCUGUGAAAGCCCUGGGCUCAACCUGGGAAUUGCAGUGGAUACUGGGCAACUAGAGUAAGGUAGAGGAUAGUGGAAUUUCCGGUGUAGCAGUGAAAUGCGUAGAGAUCGGAAGGAACAUCUGUGGCGAAGGCGACUAUCUGGGCCAUUACUGACACUGAGGCACGAAAGCGUGGGGAGCAAACAGGAUUAGAUACCCCCGUAGUCCCUGUCUCUUAUAC
Molecule: ribosomal RNA, 301 nt
Filed under: uncultured bacterium
Lineage: Bacteria
Description: partial 16S ribosomal RNA
Rfam family: Bacterial small subunit ribosomal RNA
Source: RNAcentral